AAGUCGUAACAAGGUUUCCGUAGGUGAACCUGCGGAAGGAUCAUUAACACGUAUCCAACACGUAGCCCAGGAGGAACAGCAAUCCCGGUAAAUCAAUGGCGGAAAAGUUUUGAUUCGGGACCUCUGUCCAAAAGGUAUCAAGUUACAAUCGAGCUAGGAGCAGUGGCAUGGUUUCCCUAAGCAGUGCAGAAGGAUCCACUGAGUAAGGAUAACGCAUCACGGUUGCCAGAGGUCGAUCACCGGCCGGCAGACAUGUCACAGGGCUUUACGCCCCUUCAUUCACCCCUUGCCUAAUCAAGCCCCGCGGAAACGCCGGGCAAAAAAAUCUGAACAACUGUUAACAAUGGAUAUCUUGGUUCUC
This 361-nucleotide unclassified non-coding RNA is filed under the name fungal sp. RNAcentral describes it as "partial internal transcribed spacer region". The stretch from base 1 to 46 matches the Rfam family "Eukaryotic small subunit ribosomal RNA", at positions 1786 to 1831 of the family's 1831-position model. The record is from RNAcentral. Lineage: Eukaryota; Fungi.